Drosophila simulans is the source of this 4807-nucleotide RNA transcript. It is a transcript of the gene named phenoloxidase-activating factor 2, with no coding region annotated. The transcript is spliced from 3 exons. NCBI's taxonomy places the organism in Eukaryota, Metazoa, Arthropoda, Insecta, Diptera, Drosophilidae. The record is from RefSeq and is a predicted model, not a curated record.
AGACGUGUUUUACGCGAUCAGAGCACCUAAGUUAAUCGAUCCACAUCUAUAAAGUAAUAGACAAAUUUUUACAGUAAAUAAAUAUGAUCACGAAGGCGAGCGGAAAUCAAGUAAACGAGCGCCGUUUGGAAAUCUGCUAGGCUAUCUUCGCUUCCAGGAAUUUACAUAGGAAGUCCAAAACGAAAAGUAACGGAGAUAUGGCGUGAUAUUUUCGAUUCCCUGCACUUUACAUCGGCGUUCGUUCGACUCAACUGGUCUCAACUGAACAUCUUGGGUGAUCGAAGGGGUAAAUAGAUGAGCGACGCAGAGAAACUAACCUGGAAUUUUCUGAACUCGGCCGCUCUCUCAGUAAUAUUUACGAGUAUGUAGAUGAUUUGGGGCGGACUGGUGGGAAUGCAAACGCGGAAUUUAAUACAUUUUCUGGGAUAUCGAUAAAUAUUGGGAAUAAAAUGAGAAAAAAGUGAGGGCGUAACCGUUUUGUAGGUGAAAGGGAGGGCGUGGCACUGCUUUGGUAUACCGAUAAAAACAAUAAAACAAAGAAAAAUCUAAACAUUUUUCAAAAGUUUCGGCCUGGCAGUUUUGAGCUAUUUUAGGGCGUUAGAGUGGGCGUCGCAAAAAGUUUUUUUGCAAAUCGAUAGUAACUUACAAGACAAAAUUAUGAGAAAAUAACUUAAAAAAAAUGGAAAAUUUCGGCGUGGCAGUUUUGUUCGGUUUGUGGGCGUUAAUCUCAUCCUGGUAGUUGAGAUCGAGGCGUUCAUACAGACAUGGCCAGUUCGACUCCAAUAUUGAUCCUGAUCAAGAAUAUAUGGUCGGACAAAUGGUUAACGAAUCACUUUAACCCUACGAGUAACGGCUAUAAAAAUUUUAUUUUAGUAGGUAGAGGAAAGCACUGCUUCCAGAAAGAAAAAAGUAGAGACAAGAAAAAACAUAAAGAAAUUCAUAAAAGCCUUCAGUGUUCUGCCAAAAUUGAACCCAAUUCCAUUAAAUAUCUUAGAAAAUCGUAGUGCCACACGUAAAGUCAGAGAUACAAGCAUCUAGGACUUACAGCUCGUAAGGGAUAUUUGUAUACUCCACUAGUAACAGGUAUCAAAUUUAUACAAAACAAACACAAGUGCAAAAAUAUAAGAGAAUAUAUCGCAUUGGCUAUGUAAGAGCAUGACAAUAUAUUCGAUGCACACACUCAAAAAAACCACAUGGCUUAAUUCAGUUCACACCACCUAGAAAUAUUAUUUUAAGUUAAUGAUAAAUUUAACAGCACAAUUACGUUCUAUUAAUUCAUUAAAAAACACUCAGUUACAUAUAAAAGUAUAUUAUGAGAUCAGAGCGGUCAUAUGGACAGGAAGACGGGCGCUCAGGCGGACAUGGCCAGAUUGACUCGGCUAAAGCACCUGAUCAGGCUUUCUGCCUAUUACAAAUGUGUUAAUUCAAAUAAUUGCAUAUUUAAUUUAUUUUAUUAAAGUCUGACUCGUAAUAAACUCGAUAAAAUGAGUAGCGGUCCAAAGAAUGAGCGUAGCAGCUCCGUAAAUCGAAGAAACGGCUGUUACUCUUACUUCUCAACACGCGAUGUCAACGUUGAAAAUAAAUCAACAAAAAGCAACUCGGCUCUACUGACCGUCGGCUGCAGGAGCACUGGUUCAUCCACUAUGCUUACCCUAACUCCUGCAUCAUGGAACUACCAGUGCCAAACCCCACCACCGCCGCCUUCGAUCGGACUCCAACGACUAGUGCUGCAAUUUCUGGUCCACCAACAACUUAGUCAUCUACCGAUAUUCCGGAUUUGGUGCCGCUGCUGACCGAAAAAUGCAAUGGCAGCUUUAAGUUUAAAAGACCUGGUCAACGACAUUGUUGCGGUGGUCGGACAAAAAUUUCCAUGUUGUUCCGCUUAUUAAACGGAACAUCCGAAGAACACUUACGAACUGUGUUUCAAUACCUGGAGGAAACAAAAAAGAACUUUCACGCCUAGCAACUAAAAAGCAAGUUCUAUUUGCAGCCAGCUUUGGAGACUCAAUUUAACUUUACGGCACCUCAGCUGUGCGAUUAUCUUUUGGUACUGUUGGAAGGACUUUAUUAUAUUACUAAACGUUUUUUAAUGAAUUAAUAUAAAGUAAUUGUGCUGUUACAUUACCAGGAGUUGAUUAAUAAGUGUUGGUAAAUUUCUCAUUAUUUUAAAUUAACAUUUCCUGGUGGAGUUAACUGUAUUUUUGGGCCGAAUAGCAAAGGCAUUUCCUUUAUAUUUGAUAUAUUAUUUUAAUCUUAUUUUCUAUAAGUAUAUUAAGGUUUGAAAAGUAACAGGAAUUAGAUUUUAACAAUGCUUGUCGCAGAUUUACGCGAAAAAUUUACAGAAUUUAGACUCACCGGAGAAAGAAGGAAGAAAGAAUUGCAAAACUGACUGCUUGCUCACUACGGAUGGACCGUUGAUAAUCAUGAUGAUGAAGAAAUCAAAGUGAAUGAUGAUCUGGUGGUAGAUGAGUCUAAUAAUAUGCAGGCAGGUCGAUAUGUAGGCGGAUUCCAUUUGUAGGUGGGUGGGCAGAACCGUUAGCUUCAAAUUCCUAGUUCGGGUAGAUUAUAUUGAAAUAUAUUGUUUUGCGGUCAAAGUUUUCAGGAUUAAUCAGUGGAUUGACGAGCUUGAAGAUUUUGCUCUUACGGCGGAAUGGAGUCAGUUACAGGUAACUGCGAAAUAAUUCCUCAGUGAUUUGAGAGUGUCAUCGGAAAAGGUUCAUCGUAGACUUAAAAAACGACACCAGAAAAAGUACCUGUAUGCUUUAAUCAUAACAGAAAAUUACAUUAUCUGUAAAUCAAGUCAAGUACGGCUCUCACUUCAUUGAAGGUUAGAGAGAGAUAGUUCAAGUAGUUGAGAAGGUUAGAAAAUGUUUUAACUGUGUGUUACAAAAAAUAAACAAUAAGCAUUUCAGGUGCAACCAAACACAUCAUAGGGCAGCUUAGGUCAAAAUGGUAGCCAAACAGGAGAAGAACACAAAUAUAGUACAGUUGGAAAGCAAGACAGAGCCAACAAACGUCUUUACGUCUUCAGAUCUAGUCUUACAGUCUAGCAUACCAGCACUAUGUGUUCCAAUAAUUAAUUCUUUGGCAACGGCACUUAGCCGUUCUUGCAAACAAAUCCUAAAGACUGACCAAAGCCGUUUUGCCUGCUCUCUUUGAAGCUUCUCCCAAACUUAUGCACCCAAGAACAAUGCUCUCCCGAAAUAAAAUACUUUUACUUUCUUCUUAAUCCAACCUACAUUUUAAUGUUAAUCUAAAUCUGCACAUUGAACAAUAAAGAAUUUAUUAUAACCUGAUUUCAAUUUUCUUUUAUUUGACAAAACUUAAUAUACAGUGUUGGCCUUAGUCAUAAAAGACGGUCCAUUUAAUAGACUGAAGGGUAAUAAAAAACGUUCCUAUUUACUUAACACCAAGAUAAAAAGCAACUGCCCGAUCUGGAACAGUGGUUCCUUUUCUUAGUCAACUUUUACUAGGAUCUAUCCGUGAACUGGCCCACCUAACAGAGUGCCAAAAACCCCUCCCGCCAGUAGGCGAAAAAUCAGGAUGUUUGACCUAUUUGUUCGAAAUCCACUAACCGUGGUAGCUGACCUAUGAGUUCGGAUUCCACAACAGUUUUCCUAUUUCCCCGGACUCGAGCCUCACAAAUGAGGUGCCUACUUGGCUUAGUACGUCGUCUCCAGGCGCUUUAGCCUAGUACAGCGCGGCAUCAGCUUUACGUUCUUCGAUAAGUUCCCCCACCUAAUUUGCACUAGAUCGAGAAAUAAACGAUCUAACCGCAACGCGUCGUUAAAUGCGUUACCAUCAUAUCCUGCUCUUUUUGGACCCGAACCUGUUAAACGACCUGGCUACUUGACCUACACAUACGAGUUUUGUUCACGUUAAUUUAAAAAGUCACUUAGCUGAUUGAUAUUAUAACAGGAAAAUCUCACAUAUUUUUUAUCUAAGGAAUUUAGAAGUUCAUUUUCCAAUUAACAAAACAAAGCACCUAUGAUUUUAAAAUAACAAAAGUGGUCUUAAAGUCAAAUAAGGCAUUUAUUCUGAAACAUUUACACGUGUUCUCUGUUGCAGAAGUUGGCGACUUUAUGUUUAUAAUGUUUAGGAAAAAGAAUUUACUUAGCAAGGGAGCAUUAAUAGUACUGCGGUCCAAUGUUCUCUAAAGAGUCAAUUGGGAGCCAAUUCUGUUACGUCGGCGCCCUCAGUGCUCUCGUCCUGCAAAAUUACUUGUGCCGAGGGAGAGGCGUUCGAUGUUCAGGCACCAGGUUGCCAGCGUUAGCUCGCCGUAUUAGGGUCGUACGAUCUUGUCCUCAGUGCCCAACAAGCUUGGUUGUUAGCUCGAUCGCAAAACAAUCGGGCACUGUUUCGUCCACAUUCCCUCCCCUUCACUCGCCCGUGUGCCAAAUGGAUCGCCUCUGGCUGCGCCAUUCGAACCCCAUUUGGUCAAGGUUGUCCGUCUAACGUUAUGUCAUAAUUUUGGACCUACCGUACUACUUUAAGAAUGUUUAUCUACUCAUCUUGUUGAAGUGGAAUAAAUAUCAUAUCUUUUUUGAAAAAUAUAUUGAUGGCUAGUGCCAUUUGUAAUAUAACAUUUAACGGCUAGUAUAAAAAAGCUAAACAAGUUGAUAAAAAUUUUGCCUUUCGAUUUAACCACCGGGCAACGGUGCAAUGAGGGCGUUUGACUAUGUGCAUCAAAAACAAGACUAAUAAUCGCCACUGAAAAGUUAUCUUUAUUUAUAAAAAAUGUAUUAUUUAUUAAACCUUUAAUUGUUAUCAAAUGUCAAAAAAAUGCACUGCCUGAAAGAGGCCAACG